GACGUAGGGCGCGAGCGUUGUCCGGAUUUAUUGGGCGUAAAGAGCUCGUAGGCGGCUCAUUGCGUCAACCGUGAAAACCAGCAGCUCAACUGUUGGCUUGCGGUUGAUACGGGUGGGCUGGAGUUCGGUAGGGGAGACUGGAAUUCCUGGUGUAGCGGUGAAAUGCGCAGAUAUCAGGAGGAACACCGGUGGCGAAGGCGGGUCUCUGGGCCGAUACUGACGCUGAGGAGCGAAAGCCAGGGGAGCGAACGGG
RNAcentral lists this ribosomal RNA (253 nucleotides) under uncultured bacterium. Its description in RNAcentral is "partial 16S ribosomal RNA". It matches the Rfam family "Bacterial small subunit ribosomal RNA", at positions 524 to 776 of the family's 1533-position model. The record is from RNAcentral.